GGUUGGUGGUCAAAUGACCCCCAUUAUGAACUAAUCCAACCUUUGAUCACCAGCUCAUUGAAACCAAACUCAGUCCCACAUCCUAAUAAUUAGCCAAAAUAACAAAAGAAAAACUCAGAAUUACUAACUCAAGGUUAAACUAAGUUGUUCUUAGAUGAAAAAAUAAAAUGGCAGCAUUUAUUUUAAGACUUGAAUGAUUCUAGUUCAGCUCGUC
RNAcentral lists this unclassified non-coding RNA (214 nucleotides) under Hevea brasiliensis (rubber tree). The record is from RNAcentral. Lineage: Eukaryota; Viridiplantae; Streptophyta; Magnoliopsida; Malpighiales; Euphorbiaceae.